GUAGGAGUGUGCUUGUAUGUAGUGUUGAUGUUUCAAUGCAGGAGUGUGUUUUAUAUGUAGUGUUGAAGUUUGAAUGGAGGGGUGUAUUUGUAUUUAAAGUUGCGGCUCAGAUGCACAGGUACACACUCUGACACACAAGCAGAUACACAGAUACAUACACUGACUACAUACAGAUAAACAGGCACAUACACUGACAGACACACUGGCACAGGUACAUAUAUUGACACACACACAGACACAUACACUGGUAGACGUACUGACAGACAUACUGACACAGGCACAUAUACAGACAUACUGACACACAGACACAUAUACCGACAUACUGACACACACACACAGACACUGAUCAACAUACUGACACACAUACACUGGCAGAAAUACUGACACCCACACACUGACAGAUAUACUGACACCCACAUACACUGAGAAAUACUGACACACACACACAGGCACAUACACUGACACACACAGACCGAUAUACUGACACACACACACACAGACAUACUGGCACACAGACAGAUAUACUGACACAUGCAUACACAUGCACUAACAGACAUACUGACGCACUGACAGACA
Non-coding RNA from Pelobates cultripes (western spadefoot toad), 576 nucleotides. Lineage: Eukaryota; Metazoa; Chordata; Amphibia; Anura; Pelobatidae. The record is from the annotation of a GenBank genome assembly.